This 459-nucleotide ribosomal RNA is filed under the name uncultured bacterium. RNAcentral's name for it is "partial 16S ribosomal RNA". It matches the Rfam family "Bacterial small subunit ribosomal RNA", at positions 338 to 795 of the family's 1533-position model. The record is from RNAcentral.
CCUACGGGAGGCAGCAGUGAGGAAUAUUGGUCAAUGGGAGGAAUCCUGAACCAGCCAUGCCGCGUGCAGGACGACGGCUCUACGAGUUGUAAACUGCUUUUGUACCGGGGUAAAAUGCACUACGAGUAGGGUUUUGAAAGGACGGUACGAAUAAGGAACGGCUAAACCCGUGCCAGCAGCCGCGGUAAUACGGAGGAGCAGAGCGUUAUCCGGAUUCAUUGGGUUAAAGAGGGCGUAGGUUGUUUGAUAAGUUAGCGGUGAAAUACCGAUGGUCAACAUCUGGGCUGCCGCUAAUACUGUAGGACUAGAGAUCGGAUGCAGCAGGCGGAAUGUGUAGUGUAGCGGUGAAAUGCAUAGAGAUCACACAGAACACCGAUUGCGAAGGCAGCUUGCUAGGCCGGAUCUGACACUGAUGCACGAAAGCGUGGGGAUCGAACAGGAUUAGAUACCCCAGUAGUC